This 606-nucleotide long non-coding RNA is filed under the name Homo sapiens (human). RNAcentral describes it as "BBOX1 antisense RNA 1". Lineage: Eukaryota; Metazoa; Chordata; Mammalia; Primates; Hominidae. The record is from RNAcentral.
AGAAAGGGAACUCCCUGACCCCUUGCGCUUCCCAAGUGAGGCAAUGCCUCGCCCUGCUUCGGCUCGCGCACGGUGCGCGCACCCGCUGACCUGCACCCACUGUCUGGCACUCCUUAGUGAGAUGAACCCGGUACCUCAGAUGGAAAUGCAGAAAUCACCCGUCUUCUGCGUCGCUCACGCUGGGAGCUGUAGACCGGAGCUGUUCCUAUUCGGCCAUCUUGGCUCCUCCUGUAACAAUUUCUUGAGAUGAAGAUCCUGAAUACCAAAGAGGGCCGCUGACAGGUCUAGGAGUACACUUCUAGCACCUAGCAGAGAGAGGCUUCACUACAUCAUGCUUCCUGACAUCUCUCCCUUUGAAGAGCAGUCAGACUCCUGCUUUGCUCUUCAGACUUAAUUUGGGGGUUUAACAGGUGAGGUUGCUGGGGGAACUCUUUUACAACAUCUCUCUGAAAGAAUCCGGGCUGCCAGUUUCAUUUGGUUUGGGUGUCAGUAGCAUGAUGGAAAGACAAAAAAACACAACUUGACAUCUGCAGAAAUGGGUUCAAAUUUUACCUGCAACUCACCAAUUCUGUGGCCUUGGUUCAGCAAUUAAACUCCCUAAAAUUC